UGCCGAAUCCUACUCCUAACUAAAUAGACUCUGAACUGAUUCUUAAACUGUACUGGAUUGAACUAAAUCUGUUACUGAUCAUACUAUUUAACUGAGCUGAAAUGAGAUUAUUGAGUUCCGUUGACUGACAAAAUACUGCUGAAUUCUAUUAACUGACUGAAUGCUAUUGCGUUCUGAACUGAAUACUUAAAUAUUACUGAGGUCUGAACUGAAUACUGAACUGGACUUGGAAUGAUACUGAGCUUACUGAAUUUUCCUAAGUCAUGUAACUGACUGAGUUCUACUAAAUUCUGUAAC
This 297-nucleotide long non-coding RNA is filed under the name Capsicum annuum. RNAcentral's name for it is "long non-coding RNA (CANN_LNC002947)". Lineage: Eukaryota; Viridiplantae; Streptophyta; Magnoliopsida; Solanales; Solanaceae. The record is from RNAcentral.